GACGAACGCUGGCGGCGUGCUUAACACAUGCAAGUCGAACGAAAAGACGGAAAGAGCUUGCUCUUUUCAGAAUUGAGUGGCAAACGGGUGAGUAACACGUAAACAACCUGCCUUCAGGAUGGGGACAACAGACGGAAACGACUGCUAAUACCGAAUAAGUUCCAAGGGCCGCAUGGCCCAUGGAAGAAAAGGUGGCCUCUACCUGUAAGCUAUCGCCUGAAGAGGGGUUUGCGUCUGAUUAGCUGGUUGGAGGGGUAACGGCCCACCAAGGCGACGAUCAGUAGCCGGUCUGAGGGGAUGAACGGCCACACUGGAACUGAGACACGGUCCAGACUCCUACGGGAGGCAGCAGUGGGGAAUCUUCCGCAAUGGGCGAAAGCCUGACGGAGCAACGCCGCGUGAGUGAUGACGGCCUUCGGGUUGUAAAACUCUGUGAUCCGGGACGAAAAGGCAGAGUGCGAAGAACAAACUGCAUUGACGGUACCGGAAAAGCAAGCCACGGCUA
This 505-nucleotide ribosomal RNA is filed under the name uncultured bacterium. RNAcentral describes it as "bacterial SSU rRNA". It matches the Rfam family "Bacterial small subunit ribosomal RNA", at positions 28 to 499 of the family's 1533-position model. The record is from RNAcentral.